UGCCUUAUAGUCUAGUGGUCAAGAUUCUGGUUUCUAAACUAGAGACCUGGGUUCAUCCCCAGUGCGAUUU
Molecule: non-coding RNA, 70 nt
Organism: Diaporthe sp. PMI_573
Lineage: Eukaryota; Fungi; Ascomycota; Sordariomycetes; Diaporthales; Diaporthaceae
Source: the annotation of a GenBank genome assembly